UUAAUCCUUGCUGCGUCUUUAACCAGGCUGCAUUUUCUUUCUUCCAUAGCUUUUGCCAGUGGAAGACGAGGAGUGGAACAGAAACUGCAAGAUGGAUGUGAGAAGUUUGAGCAACACUGAGCUUAAGGAACAACUGCUGAAACACGGGGUCAUGCCGGGUCCCAUAUUACCAACCACAAGAAUUAUUUAUGAGAAGAGACUGCAGCAGCUUUUGGAUGAAGUGUCUGAACCAGCGGACAAGAACCGACCGGUCAACCAGGAUCAGUAUUCAGAUAGUGAAGAUGAAGGUUUUCUAAUGAAGAAAAAAGAAGAGAUGAGCGAUGAAACAGCUGAUGCAACACAGAACAACAGACAAACAAAAAUUCCAGCAUCCCUUGCAGCUGAUUACAACCAGAAGCUGGCAACAUUAGGGGAUGAUUUCACUGUAACUAGGAUACUUAAGCAGGAAAGUACUGUUACCCUCUUUACUAGCUUUGAAUUCAAGUUUGUAAUUUAAGUAGUGAUAUAUCUAGCAAUAUAAUAUAUAUAUUUUAUAAGAUUAAGGCAAUGUAUCAGUUGUGUAUAACUGUCUGAGAUAGUGAGAGAAGUUUGAAGGUUUGUGGGAGAUAUUGGGUUUAAAGCCAAAAAAUAUACUUUUGGUUUUUCAAAACUGCUGCAUUGCCAACUUAAUGGCCUGACCACAGAGAAAUGUUUAAUAAACAGAUGGAGAGGCGGUCUAUUGUGGAACAGGCUGCGUUGUUCAAGAAAGAGCUGAAUCCAAAAAGCCAGGUAUAGCUACGUCAACAUGAGGGAAGACAAUGUGGUCUUAAAAGGUCCAGAAAUGAAUCGGGUCUGCCUGUCACAGCACACAGCACACUUGGCCAGAAAAUGCAGUGCAACCCGCAGAAAGCCAAUAAAGGGUGCUGCUGGGCGCCCCAUACAGUUCCGUUAUGAUGAGUUCACCACUAAGGCUCGGGUCCAAGAGAAGACUAAAGCCACACCAAUCAAAAAAAGCUCUAGACGUCUAAUUUCCGUGCCACUGCAGAUAGUUAUUUUUAUUGUGGUUGCCUUUUUUGCACUGGUUUUCUUCACCUUAGAAGGUAGCCCAGAUAAUCCUUUUAGAUCACUUGUAGAGAGUAGUGGCAGUGCACAGCAGCCUUAAGGUAUUUAUAGAAUGGUAAUGUCAAGGCUCAUCCUCUCCUAAAGGAACAAUGAGAGUAGCUUUUAAAAAAGGAACACUGUUAAAUGGAUGGGAUACAUUAUACUAUAAUCAAUGAAAUGGUUAAACUGAGUUCUCACUUUUAAUUAUAUUACCUGGCAUAUUCUGAGGAUUGGGUUCCUGGUAAAACGAAACCUUUUUUUUUUUUUUUUACCAAUUUUUUAACAGCAUUUCCUGACACACACAAUCCCUACAUCUCAGUGCUUGGCACUAGCUGUCCUAGUGGGCAGGUAGUUGCCUCCCUGUGGUGGAAGAGGUAUAGUACUUAUUACAUCAUUAAUUGUUAUCCACCCUUUUGGGACCUUUCAUAAAGUUAAUGAAAAGCUUCACUGUUAAAUUAUCCUUAGCAAAUAAUUAAUGUGCUGCUUUUUUUUCCAAUUUAGAUCUUCCAUAUUGUCUGCAAAAAAAAACUAAUGAAAUUCUUUGUUGAGAUAGCUGUAUAUUUCAUCCUCUUGGUUGCUCCAGUGCACCCUAUUAAGCUUUACAUUGCAUCAAAAAACAAGGACCUUUUGCAUUGUCCAUUGCAUUUUUACCUUUAUCCUGCUUAGUACUUUACUAUAUUACGCAAUUCUUAUUGUCUGCGUUCAUAAGUUUAAUGUACUACAGUAAGAAAACAUUUUUUUUUUUGUAAGAGUGGCAAAUGGUUUUCACAUUAAUUAUCUUAAAUAUUAUCUACCUCAUUUCUUUAAAGCAGGGAAUGUUUGCUUAAGAAGCACUUCCUUACCCUGUGUUGCAGCUUUGUGUCAAGUACUGUUUUAUUUCAUUUUGAAAGUUGUAUGUUUUUAAACGUCACUCAUUAGAUAACCUGACCAGUAGGAGUGACCAUGCUGCAAUGUUUAUUUUUUUCUAUCCACACUAUAAAUGGCAAGUUGAGGUACUUUAUGGUCUAUAGUUAAGCAGUUCUAGAAUGCACUUGAACCCAAAUAAACCAUUUCCUGUAAGUGGAGUAUUGAAAAGCUGUAUGCAUGUUAUUGCUUUAAUGAAAAUUUAAAUGUGACAUGGGUUCAUAUUUAUAAAUGUUUGUUUUUACAGUAGUUAAGUGUUAUUUCAAAAACAGCAAGCCUUUCAUGUUUGUGCCACCAAAUUAGAUCAAUAAUCGUUAACCACUGGUUAGUUUUACUUUAACAACAUAGCUCUUGCAUUAAUGCCCCUUUAGUGCAAAAAAACUAUUGUUUACAACUGAAAUUGUUGCAUUUCCUGCAACUGCCUAUUCCUACAAUUGACAUUGUGUCCAUCUCUGUAACCACACGUGAAUAUAUGCCGUUUGAAGAAUCUUGAUAGAGUAUUGUUAUACUGACAUUACCUUGCACAAUUUUAAGUCAGCCAUCCCAUUACUGGCCUAUAGGUGGUGGUCCUGUGAUGUGGAUCUUCGACCUAAUCAUUAACUGCGAUGAGUAAAAUCUCCAGUUUCCUGCUUUGUGUGCAUUAUAACCGGUUAAUUUUAAUACAAGAGCAGCCCUGAUAGAAUUAAAAAAAACAGACAAAACCAAGUAACAGUGUAUCAGUGUCAGAAUAGUCCUCCUCUUGCUGAAUAGGUUGAAUAUCUCUUUAUAGCUUUCAUUUUAUUGUUACAGAACCUCGUGUUAAAAUACAGGUUCACGUGCUACGUAGUAGUUAAAUAAAUCCCUCUCCACUUUACCCCUUUUGAUUAUAGUGUACGUGCUAAGUUAUUUCAGUCUGUGUUUAAAUAAAGAGUGUUUAUUUUCCAUUCCUUGUGUUUUCAUUUACGAAUAUUUCAGUUACAUAUUGGGCAGUCUCUUCAUGGCAUCAGUAUACUAAUGCAGUCCUUGCCUGAAUGCAUUUUCCAAACCUGCUCAAUAGAUAUCUGAUUUUUUUUUUUUUUUUAUUAAUUGCAUGUUCUGCUGUCUGGUAGACAUGGUAACUAUCCCUGGAGCCUCUGUGAGGCUACAUUUUUAUCAUUGUUACAUAAUUAUUGUUUAUCUUUCUAUAAAAGCCCUCUCCCAGUCAUGUAUUUUGAUUUGCAAACUGCUGCAUGUUAGCAGUUGAAAUUCCAAACUGGAAAGCUGCAGAAAAAAGUAAAUGAAUCCAAAGCCAUAAAAAAGACAAUUUGCAAAUGUGGAAUACAAGUGUCUAAUUCGCCAUGUUUAAUUAAGGUGAACUACACAUUUACCUGGUACUUUUUUUUGUAUGUGUAGGGGAGAAGAGAAAUCCUUUCCCUGCUUUUCUGUCUGUGACAUCAU
This is an RNA transcript of Xenopus laevis (African clawed frog), 3399 nucleotides long. It is a transcript of the gene named LEM domain-containing protein 1-like L homeolog, with no coding region annotated. The transcript has 6 exons. Lineage: Eukaryota; Metazoa; Chordata; Amphibia; Anura; Pipidae. The record is from RefSeq and is a predicted model, not a curated record.